This 253-nucleotide ribosomal RNA is filed under the name uncultured bacterium. Its description in RNAcentral is "partial 16S ribosomal RNA". It matches the Rfam family "Bacterial small subunit ribosomal RNA", at positions 524 to 776 of the family's 1533-position model. The record is from RNAcentral.
UACGUAGGGUGUAGGCGUUAAUCGGAAUUACUGGGCGUAAAGCGUGCGCAGGCGGUUUGCUAAGACAGGUGUGAAAUCCCCGGGCUUAACCUGGGAACUGCGCUUGUAACUGGCAAGCUGGAGUGUGGCAGAGGGGGGUGGAAUUCCACGUGUAGCAGUGAAAUGCGUAGAGAUGUGGAGGAACACCGAUGGCGAAGGCAGCCCCCUGGGCUAACACUGACGCUCAUGCACGAAAGCGUGGGGAGCAAACAGG